CUGUUCCGUAGGUGAACCUGCGGAAGGA
Molecule: ribosomal RNA, 28 nt
Filed under: Skeletonema pseudocostatum
Lineage: Eukaryota; Bacillariophyta; Thalassiosirophyceae; Thalassiosirales; Thalassiosiraceae
Description: partial 18S ribosomal RNA
Source: RNAcentral